This 248-nucleotide unclassified non-coding RNA is filed under the name Nigrospora sp. Its description in RNAcentral is "partial contains 5.8S ribosomal RNA, internal transcribed spacer 2, and large subunit ribosomal RNA". Lineage: Eukaryota; Fungi; Ascomycota; Sordariomycetes; Amphisphaeriales; Apiosporaceae. The record is from RNAcentral.
CGCACAUUGCGCCCAUUAGUAUUCUAGUGGGCAUGCCUGUUCGAGCGUCAUUUCAACCCCUAAGCACAGCUUAUUGUUGGGAAUCUACGGCCCCCGUAGUUCCUCAAAGACAUUGGCGGAGCGGCAGUGGUCCUCUGAGCGUAGUAAUCUUUUUAUCUCGCUUCUGUUAGGCCCUGCCCCCCCGGCCGUAAAACCCCCAAUUUUUUCUGGUUGACCUCGGAUCAGGUAGGAAUACCCGCUGAACUUAA